CGCACAUUGCGCCCAUUAGUAUUCUAGUGGGCAUGCCUGUUCGAGCGUCAUUAAGUCCAUUAAGCCUCGUUGCUUAGCGUUGGGAGCCUGCGCGGCGUGAGCCCGCAGCUCCUCAAAACCAGUGGCGGAGUCGGCGCGUACUCUAAGCGUAGUAAUUUCAGCUCGCUUCAGCGGUCGUGCGGGCGCCCUGCCGUAAAACACACCAAAUACCACAGGUUUGACCUCGGAUCAGGUAGGAAUACCCGCUGAACUUAA
Molecule: unclassified non-coding RNA, 255 nt
Filed under: fungal sp.
Lineage: Eukaryota; Fungi
Description: partial contains 5.8S ribosomal RNA, internal transcribed spacer 2, and large subunit ribosomal RNA
Source: RNAcentral